GACUGAUUUUGUAGAUUCAAUAUUUGUCUCCAGCACUUUCACACGGAUAAUCCCAGUUGACAUCGAAUUGGCCGACCUUAGGAUCGGCUUGGGAGCAGCAGCAACAAAGUACAUAUUCUCACAUUUUCUUGGAAUGAAUCAAUGCAACCACAGGUGAUGUCCUAAAUCAUAUCUGUGAUGCUGUGUAUUCUUGAUCCAUACCCA
Molecule: long non-coding RNA, 204 nt
Filed under: Elaeis guineensis (African oil palm)
Lineage: Eukaryota; Viridiplantae; Streptophyta; Magnoliopsida; Arecales; Arecaceae
Description: long non-coding RNA (EGUI_LNC033300)
Source: RNAcentral